GAAAUGCGAUAAGUAGUGUGAAUUGCAGAAUUCGGUGAAUCAUCGAAUCUUUGAACGCACAUUGCGCCCUAUGGUAUUCCGUAGGGCAUGCCUGUUCGAGCGUCAUUUACACCUUCAAGCCUUGCUUGGUGUUGGGUGACUGUGGCCCCUUUGGGGCCACUCGCCUUAAAGUCAUUGGCGGCCGGUUCGUUGGCUUUGUAGCGCAGCACAAUUGCGUCCUCGAAGCCGCUGGACCAGCUCCCAGAAGCUAAUUUUAAAUGUUUGACCUCGAAUCAGGUAGGGAUACCCGCUGAACUUAAGC
Molecule: unclassified non-coding RNA, 301 nt
Filed under: plant metagenome
Description: partial contains 5.8S ribosomal RNA, internal transcribed spacer 2, and large subunit ribosomal RNA
Rfam family: 5.8S ribosomal RNA (bases 1-105)
Source: RNAcentral